AUUGAACGCUGGCGGCAGGCCUAACACAUGCAAGUCGAGCGGUAGCACAGAGAGCUUGCUCUCGGGUGACGAGCGGCGGACGGGUGAGUAAUGUCUGGGAAACUGCCUGAUGGAGGGGGAUAACUACUGGAAACGGUAGCUAAUACCGCAUAAUGUCGCAAGACCAAAGUGGGGGACCUUCGGGCCUCAUGCCAUCAGAUGUGCCCAGAUGGGAUUAGCUAGUAGGUGGGGUAACGGCUCACCUAGGCGACGAUCCCUAGCUGGUCUGAGAGGAUGACCAGCCACACUGGAACUGAGACACGGUCCAGACUCCUACGGGAGGCAGCAGUGGGGAAUAUUGCACAAUGGGCGCAAGCCUGAUGCAGCCAUGCCGCGUGUGUGAAGAAGGCCUUCGGGUUGUAAAGCACUUUCAGCGGGGAGGAAGGCGGUGAGGUUAAUAACCUCAUCGAUUGACGUUACCCGCAGAAGAAGCACCGGCUAACUCCGUGCCAGCAGCCGCGGUAAUACGGAGGGUGCAAGCGUUAAUCGGAAUUACUGGGCGUAAAGUGCACGCAGGCGGUCUGUCAAGUCGGAUGUGAAAUCCCCGGGCUCAACCUGGGAACUGCAUUCGAAACUGGCAGGCUAGAGUCUUGUAGAGGGGGGUAGAAUUCCAGGUGUAGCGGUGAAAUGCGUAGAGAUCUGGAGGAAUACCGGUGGCGAAGGCGGCCCCCUGGACAAAGACUGACGCUCAGGUGCGAAAGCGUGGGGAGCAAACAGGAUUAGAUACCCUGGUAGUCCACGCCGUAAACGAUGUCGAUUUGGAGGUUGUGCCCUUGAGGCGUGGCUUCCGGAGCUAACGCGUUAAAUCGACCGCCUGGGGAGUACGGCCGCAAGGUUAAAACUCAAAUGAAUUGACGGGGGCCCGCACAAGCGGUGGAGCAUGUGGUUUAAUUCGAUGCAACGCGAAGAACCUUACCUGGUCUUGACAUCCACAGAACUUUCCAGAGAUGGAUUGGUGCCUUCGGGAACUGUGAGACAGGUGCUGCAUGGCUGUCGUCAGCUCGUGUUGUGAAAUGUUGGGUUAAGUCCCGCAACGAGCGCAACCCUUAUCCUUUGUUGCCAGCGGUUAGGCCGGGAACUCAAAGGAGACUGCCAGUGAUAAACUGGAGGAAGGUGGGGAUGACGUCAAGUCAUCAUGGCCCUUACGACCAGGGCUACACACGUGCUACAAUGGCAUAUACAAAGAGAAGCGACCUCGCGAGAGCAAGCGGACCUCAUAAAGUAUGUCGUAGUCCGGAUUGGAGUCUGCAACUCGACUCCAUGAAGUCGGAAUCGCUAGUAAUCGUAGAUCAGAAUGCUACGGUGAAUACGUUCCCGGGCCU
Molecule: ribosomal RNA, 1361 nt
Filed under: uncultured bacterium
Lineage: Bacteria
Description: bacterial SSU rRNA
Rfam family: Bacterial small subunit ribosomal RNA
Source: RNAcentral